RNAcentral lists this ribosomal RNA (453 nucleotides) under uncultured Bacillota bacterium. Its description in RNAcentral is "bacterial SSU rRNA". It matches the Rfam family "Bacterial small subunit ribosomal RNA", at positions 424 to 894 of the family's 1533-position model. The record is from RNAcentral. Lineage: Bacteria; Bacillati; Bacillota.
UGUAAACUCCUGUCGUUAGGGACGAUAAUGACGGUACCUAACAAGAAAGCACCGGCUAACUACGUGCCAGCAGCCGCGGUAAAACGUAGGGUGCAAGCGUUGUCCGGAAUUACUGGGUGUAAAGGGAGCGCAGGCGGGAAGACAAGUUGGAAGUGAAAACCAUGGGCUCAACCCAUGGAUUGCUUUCAAAACUGUUUUUCUUGAGUAGUGCAGAGGUAGAUGGAAUUCCCGGUGUAGCGGUGGAAUGCGUAGAUAUCGGGAGGAACACCAGUGGCGAAGGCGGUCUACUGGGCACCAACUGACGCUGAGGCUCGAAAGCAUGGGUAGCAAACAGGAUUAGAUACCCUGGUAGUCCAUGCCGUAAACGAUGAUUACUAGGUGUUGGGGGAUUGACCCCCUCAGUGCCGCAGUUGACACAAUAAGUAAUCCACCUGGGGAGUACGACCGCAAGGU